Molecule: ribosomal RNA, 253 nt
Filed under: uncultured bacterium
Lineage: Bacteria
Description: partial 16S ribosomal RNA
Rfam family: Bacterial small subunit ribosomal RNA
Source: RNAcentral
UACGGAGGGUGCGAGCGUUGUCCGGAAUUACUGGGCGUAAAGGGUGCGCAGGCCGCGCGGGCAGUCAAAUGUGUAAUCCAGGGGCUCAACCCCUGAACUGCGCUUGAUACUUCCGCGCUCGAGCUUUGGAGAGGAGUCUGGAAUUCUCGGUGUAGCAGUGAAAUGCGUGGAUAUCGAGAAGAACACUUAGGGCGUAGGCAAGACUCUGGACAAAUGCUGACGCUCAUGCACGAAGGCUAGGGUAGCGAACGGG